This 494-nucleotide ribosomal RNA is filed under the name uncultured bacterium. Its description in RNAcentral is "partial 16S ribosomal RNA". It matches the Rfam family "Bacterial small subunit ribosomal RNA", at positions 28 to 507 of the family's 1533-position model. The record is from RNAcentral.
GACGAACGCUGGCGGCGUGCUUAACACAUGCAAGUCGAACGGUGAAGCGCCUUCCUUUUUGGUGGGUGUGGAUGAGUGGCGAACGGGUGAGUAACACGUGAGUAACCUGCCCCCUUCUUCUGGAUAACCGCAUGAAAGUGUGGCUAAUACGGGAUAUUCUGGGUCUGUCGCAUGAUGGGUCUGGGAAAGAUAUUGUUUCGGUGGGGGAUGGGCUCGCGGCCUAUCAGCUUGUUGGUGGGGUGAUGGCCUACCAAGGCGGUGACGGGUAGCCGGCCUGAGAGGGUGGACCGGACAAAGGGGAAGGAGAAACGGACAAGACUCCUACGGGAGGCAGCAGGGGGGAAUAGUGAAAAAUGGGAGGAAGGCUGAUGCAGCGACGCCGGGGGGGGGAUGGAGGCCUUCGGGUUGUGAACCUUUUUCGCCAGUGAAGCAGGCCUGCCUAGUUUGUGGGUGGGUUGACGGUAGCUGGAUAAGAAGCGCCGGCUAACUACGUG